RNAcentral lists this long non-coding RNA (895 nucleotides) under Marmota monax (woodchuck). Lineage: Eukaryota; Metazoa; Chordata; Mammalia; Rodentia; Sciuridae. The record is from RNAcentral.
GGUUUUGAUUUGCAUUUCUCUGACUGCUAGAGAUGGUGAGCAUUUUUUCAUGUACUUGUUGAUUGAUUGUAUGUCCUCCUCUGAUUGGUAGGUUUAAAAAAACCUACCAAUCCUUGAGUUUGGGCUGAUGUAGGACGUGCUUCAGUAAAUGUGAUGUUAAUGUACAUGACAAGACAUGCUUGAGAUAUGCUUGCUCAGUGAGACUCACCCUUUCUAUCUUCACUAAGACCCCUACAGAAGCAUGUUCUGGGUAGCCCUCUGGGCCCAGAAAGAUGAGAAACAGAUGGAGCAUACCUGGACCUACCUGCUGCUCAGAGUCUUAUGUUACACAGCAAUGACUGACUGGUAUAUAUGCUACCAAUAUUUACUCACCAAACCUGAUGACAAUGAAUGCUGAAACAGACUAGGUACCAGUGACUUUAAUAAAUAAUAAAUAAUGCUUUUUAAAAUUAUUAUAAUGAAUUUGGAAGGUAGGCAUUACUUUCCCCCCUAUAUAUAUAUAAAGCAGUCAGAGCUAAGGGAGAAAAACAACUUGACCUAAGUCACACAAUUAGGAAGCACAGGACUGGAGUUAGCACCAAUGCAGAUUGUGAAAUCCAUCUCCUUUGACUUCUACCACAUUGCUCACUCUUCCUGAUUUGCUUAGAGUGAGCUGAAUCUUAGCUAAAGCAGUAUCCAUGCACACAGCAAGAAAGAAAAACACUGAAUCCCACGAUCCCAGUAAGGGUCAUUUAUGUGCACAUUUGCCUGUUUGACACAUUCAAUGAGCACCUAUUAUAUGUCAGUGCAUUAUGGUAUGUCCUGGGGAUUUAGUGGUAAGCUUGAUAGAUACUGUUUCUGUCCUUGUAGGGCUUACAUCUUAUUAUGGCUGUGAGAUACACACACACACACACAC